CAACGCUAUGUAGCAGCUUCUGGUUGGAUGUCUUUUAAAAGAUAAAAAACCAAUUUUUUUUUCAUUUUCUUUUCCUCUUUUCCCGGACUCUCUCUCUCCUUCCUCCCUCGACGAACCGAUGAAUCUCUUCUGAUUCUUCAGUUUUCAUAGAUUUCCUUGAAUCGAUUGGUUUUUGCGGUGGACUUGCUCUAAGAGACCCUAAACCCCUCUGUUGUGUUGGCUUGUGACUUGCUCUUAGACAAUCUCGAUUCUCUCUCUCUCUAUAUUCGUCGAAGGCCGACGACGGCAAAUUUCUCCGACAAGUCUCUGUUACUCAUCAAUCUCUUGAUAAUAAAGCUAUAAUCCACAUGUGGAAUCGAGAUGUGUAAUAGUAUAAUCUGCUGUUGUUAGUUGUUUCUCUCGCGUAAUAAAAAUUUCAGUGAUUGAUUAUUGCUUGUGGGAAUGAGAAUAUCUUUGUUGUGUAUUCUCUCGGUACACUAUCCUUAAACCCUUUGGCUUAUGCAAUUGCAUGAUCUAUGUGUGGAAUUGAGAUGAUAGGUCAGUGUUGUUUUUUCCUCAUAUGAUUGCUGGGCCAAAAUUGCUCGUGACAUAUAUCAAGGUAUUAAACCCAUCUUUUUGUUUCCUUGUUUCACUUCUUGUUCUGCAGUUUUGCUAGUUUUGAUCUAAUAUUUGCUUUCAGUUUUUGUUUGAACAAGGUAAUUCAUUGAAACUGUGAAUCUUGUUUGAUUUAGAUUAGGUGAAAAUAUUGAAUGCUUGGUAGUUGUGAAUGAAUGAAUCAGUGCUGAAGAUUAUAGGUGUGAUAAGCUUUCUUCAACUGAUAUUUGUGUUGGUUCCUUUGGUUUUGUUUCAUAAGUCUGUGCAAAGUUUUGUUCUCCCUCUGUGUGAUUUAUAGGCUGAUUCUCUGUUCUACUGUUUUGUUCUUUGAUCAAAGCUUGAAUCGGUUUGUGUUAUGUUCUGUUUUUUAUCAAUGUUAUGCUUUGUUCUUUGAUCCGUUUAUGAUUUGUUAUGUUCUUUGAUGAAAGCGUGAAUCGGUUUGUGCUAUGUUCUGUUCUGUAUCAAUGUUAUGCUUUGUUCUUUGAUCCGUUUAUGUUCUUUGAUGAAAGCUUGGAUCGGUUUGUGUUAUGUUCUGUUUCAAUUUUCUACGCUUUUUCAUCAAUUUGAUUUGUUCUACUGUUUUUGUUGAGGUUUAAUGGUUGAGCUGUGAAAGAAGCUGGAGGGAAGACUAGUGAGCCUGAGAUUUUCCUGCAUCAACUGAUUCUCGAUAUGUAUGUCUCAAUCCUCAAGGCUUACACAUCAUAUGUUUUAUAUGGCAUUGUUUAGGAUUUGAAUGUCUGAGUUUUUUUUUAUGAUUACUGCAAGUAUUGAGAGAAUGAGCACAUAAUUUUUUUCAACUUGUAAAGCAGUUUCUGUUUUAUGAUUGAGAAACUUAUGAAGGUUUUUCUAGUGGAAGAUGAUUUUGGUUUAA
Molecule: non-coding RNA, 1465 nt
Organism: Camelina sativa (false flax)
Lineage: Eukaryota; Viridiplantae; Streptophyta; Magnoliopsida; Brassicales; Brassicaceae
Source: RefSeq, a predicted model, not a curated record